UAGCAUGAGAUAAGUUUGAUUUUUAGGG
RNAcentral lists this non-coding RNA (28 nucleotides) under Mus musculus (house mouse). The record is from RNAcentral. Lineage: Eukaryota; Metazoa; Chordata; Mammalia; Rodentia; Muridae.